AGUGAACGCUGGCGGCGUGCUUAACACAUGCAAGUCGAACGAGAACGGGUUAUAGCUUGCUAUAAUUGUCAGCUAAGUGGCGCACGGGUGAGUAAUGUAUAGGUAAUAUGCCUCUUACUAAGGGAUAACAAAUGGAAACGUUUGCUAAUACCUUAUACUCCUUAUGAACAGAAGUUAAUAAGGGAAAGAUUUAUUGGUAAGAGAUUAGCCUGUAUUGUAUCAGUUAGUUGGUGGGGUAAUGGCUUACCAAGACUAUGACACAUAACUGGUUUGAGAGGAUGAUCAGUCACACUGGAACUGAGACACGGUCCAGACUCCUGCGGGAGGCAGCAGUGGGGAAUAUUGCACAAUGGACGAAAGUCUGAUGCAGCAACGCCGCGUGGAGGAUGACACAUUUCGGUGCGUAAACUCCUUUUAUAUGAGAAGAUAAUGACGGUAUUAUAUGAAUAAGCACCGGCUAACUCCGUGCCAGCCGCCGCAGUAA
Molecule: ribosomal RNA, 484 nt
Filed under: uncultured bacterium
Lineage: Bacteria
Description: partial 16S ribosomal RNA
Rfam family: Bacterial small subunit ribosomal RNA
Source: RNAcentral